AUGUACAAGACUAGGCUGACUUAUUCACUUAGAUGCUUGAGGUUUCUUUUGAACCAAGGAUUGGCAUUUCGUGGACAUGGUGAGAGUGAAGAAUUUAGCAAUAGGGGGAACUUUAUUGAACUUCUUAAGUGGCUUUCGGAAAAUGAUGAAGAAGUUAAUAAACAUCUUUUGAACAAUGCUCCUCAGAAUUGCAUCUUGACUAGUCCAAAGAUACAAAAUCAAAUAAUUGAAUGUUGUGUGGCGCAAACAACUAAAAUAAUUAUUGAAGAUAUUGGUGAUGACCACUAUGCAAUCCUAGCUGAUGAGUCUAGUGAUGCAUCUCACAAAGAACAACUUGCUCUCUGCAUACAAUUUGUUGACAAAUCAGGAAGAGGAUGUGAGAGAUUCCUUGGAGUUGUUCAUGUUGCCAAUACAACUUCAUUGUCACUUAAGGAUGUAAUUCAAACUUUGCUUAAAGAUCAUCAUUUGACUCCUAGUCAAAUGUGUGGGCAAGGAUAUGAUGGGGAAAGCAACAUGAAAGGGGAGAUUAAUGGGUUGAAAACAUUGAUCAUGAAUGAGUCACCCUCUGCCUAUUACAUCCAUUGUUUUGCACAUCAACUUCAGUUGGUUCUUAUAGCCGUGGCAAAGGAAAAUGAACCAUGUUUGUGGUUCUUUGAUCAUGUUUCUUACUUGCUCAAUAUUGUUGGAGUUUCUUGUAAGCGCCAUGACAUGCUUCGAGAUGUUAGAGCUCAAAAGGUUUUGUAAGCACUUGAAAUGGGUGAGAUGGAAAGUGGAAGUGGGCUAAAUCAAGAGAUGGGACUAGCUAGACCCGGCGAUACUCAUUGGGGUUCUCAUUUUAAAACCAUUAUGCACAUUGUUAGCAUGUAUUCCACAAUCCUUGAAGUACUUGAUGCUAUUGGAAAAGAUCCUUCACAAAAACGUGAGUGGACAAGAAUACGUGGAGUUGCUCAAGCCAUUGAAUCAUUUGACUUUGUGUUCAAUCUUCACUUGAUGCUUGUUAUUAUUGACUAUAUAAAUGAGUUGUCCAAAUCUUUGCAAAAGAGAGAUCAAGAUAUUGUUAAUGCAAUGGCACUUUUUAGUUUGGCAAAGAGUAGAAUGCAACACUUGAGGUCUCAUGGUUGGGAAGAAUUUCUUGCAAAGCUAACCUUAUUUUGCAACAAACAUGACAUUCAAGCUCCUUUGUGGGAGGAUACUUAUGAGCCUCAUGGAAGAUCACGUCGGUAUUAUGAAGUACAAACAAAUGAUGAUCGUUAUAGAAGAGAGGUAUAUCUUGGUGUCAUUGAUCAAACCAUUCAAGAGCUUGACAAUCGGUUUGAUGAGGUUAAUACGGAGUUGCUUAUUUGCAUGUCGGCUUUGAAUCCAAUCAACUCAUUUGCUUCUUAUUAUGCACUCAAGGUAAUGAGACUUGCCGAAUUCUAUCCCAUGGACAUAUCAAGCACAGAUUUGAUAAGGCUAGAAUUUCAACUUGCUACUUUUAUUGAUGAUAUGAGACAACAUGAUAGGUUUAGAAAUGCAAGUAAUAUUGGUGAUCUCUCUAUUAUGCUUGUUGCAACAAAGAAGCAUGUUCUUUAUGAUUUGGUCUACUUACUCAUCAAAUUGAUAUUGAUUUUACCGAAGGCGACGGCGAGUGUUGAAAGAGUAUUUUCAGCAAUGAAUCUAGUGAAAAGUAAGUUGAGGACUACUAUGAGUGAUGAUCGCUUGAAUGAUUGCUUGGUGACAUUUAUUGAACGAGAUGUGUUCAUAAAAGUAAGUGAAGAUGACAUAGUUGAUGCUUUCAUGGCAAUGCAAAAACGUAGAGUUACCUAA
RNAcentral lists this ribosomal RNA (1806 nucleotides) under Triticum aestivum (bread wheat). RNAcentral describes it as "partial small subunit ribosomal RNA". Lineage: Eukaryota; Viridiplantae; Streptophyta; Magnoliopsida; Poales; Poaceae. The record is from RNAcentral.